AAAACAUGUAUAUGGCUGCCUAUGAUUGGAGGAUCUCAUUUCAGAACACUGAGGUGCGAGAUCAAACCCUAAGCAGAAUUAAAAGUAACAUAGAACUCAUGGUGGCUUCAAGUGGUGGGAAAAAGGUGGUUAUAAUUCCGCACUCAAUGGGUGUUCUAUACUUCUUGCAUUUCAUGAAAUGGGUAGAGGCGCCAGCUCCAAU
This 202-nucleotide unclassified non-coding RNA is filed under the name Hevea brasiliensis (rubber tree). The record is from RNAcentral. Lineage: Eukaryota; Viridiplantae; Streptophyta; Magnoliopsida; Malpighiales; Euphorbiaceae.